Molecule: long non-coding RNA, 593 nt
Filed under: Phoenix dactylifera (date palm)
Lineage: Eukaryota; Viridiplantae; Streptophyta; Magnoliopsida; Arecales; Arecaceae
Description: long non-coding RNA (PDAC_LNC009073)
Source: RNAcentral
CAUUGCCCACAAGAUCUACUUUUGCUGUGGAUGAACUUUGCGCACAAACCCUAUUAUUGCUAAGCACAAACUUUGUGCAUAGACUCUACUGGUGUCGUGCGAGCUCUAUUAGUGUCAUCCACGUAUUUUGAGCAUGAACUUGAUUCCAGCCCUGCGCAUACUUUGUAUGCGAACCAUGUAACUACUCAACCCAAACUCUGUGAACGAACUCUAUCACUGCCAUGCAGGAACCUUAAGGGGUCGACUCGCCUUGCACUGGGGUCGACUCCAAUUCUUUACGAGAUGGCUCGUGAAUACCUUGAGUUGGCUCUCUCAGUCGGACAGAAAGCAUCUCCUCUGUCUUCUUCUCUGCAGGUUGUCUGGGUUGACUCAUCUUUUGCUGGGGUCGACUCCUGCUCUGCUGAGGUCGACUCGUGAGAAUCUUGGGUCGACUCGCCCGCUGUUCUUGGCUCUUCUUUUCUUUAACUCUGGUCACUUGGGGUCGACUCGGCUCUUACUGGGGUCGAUUUCUUCAGUAAUUUGACAGCCUUUUACAGAGAUCUUGACUUGGUUUUUCUUGAUUCUUUGAAGGUUGUAAAUGAUCUUUUUCCUUU